Molecule: unclassified non-coding RNA, 589 nt
Filed under: Hevea brasiliensis (rubber tree)
Lineage: Eukaryota; Viridiplantae; Streptophyta; Magnoliopsida; Malpighiales; Euphorbiaceae
Source: RNAcentral
AUCUAAAAGAAACAUCAAGUCUAAGGAGUUUAUAAGGGUCAAGGGCCAACUAACUAAUCAACUAGUUCUAACAUUUUAGCGCUAGUUAGCCCAAGUAAGCCCAAUUGUAAUAUCUUUGUUGAAAAUUGAAGGUGGAUGGGCACAAUCCUCGAAGAACUACUAGAAAGAGAAAUAACAAGAGCACUUCUAUUAUAAAAUGAAAUUUCAUCUCUUACAUUUCACACUUAGACACACCAACAUAUAUGGUAGAUACAAUAUGACUCUUCAUGAUCUAAAACUCCUAACAUAUAUAACUAUCAUGACUAUUCAAUAAACUCACAUAUUAACCACUCACAUACAUGUCUCUAAUAAAUAACAUAACACCCAUAACACACUUCAUUAAAUAGGCAUCACACUUAUAGUAGAUUCACGUAUUGACUUUUUAUUUUCUAGAUAUUUCAGUUAUGUUUACUUUUCAACAUUCCUUCAUAGAUUUAUUGUUUUCCAUGACUGAAUCAAUAGGUGAUGCUACUCGCUCGAAAAGAGACCCUAUAGACGGGUUGCUCGCCCGCCCAUGCGACCGACCAUAGGUCAGUCACCAAGACAACGG